UUUGAUCCUGGCUCAGAUUGAACGCUGGCGGCAUGCCUUACACAUGCAAGUCGAACGGUAACGCGGGGCAACCUGGCGACGAGUGGCGAACGGGUGAGUAAUACAUCGGAACGUGCCCAGUAGUGGGGGAUAGCCCGGCGAAAGCCGGAUUAAUACCGCAUACGACCUACGGGUGAAAGCGGGGGAUCGCAAGACCUCGCGCUAUUGGAGCGGCCGAUGUCAGAUUAGCUAGUUGGUGGGGUAAAGGCCUACCAAGGCGACGAUCUGUAGCUGGUCUGAGAGGACGACCAGCCACACUGGGACUGAGACACGGCCCAGACUCCUACGGGAGGCAGCAGUGGGGAAUUUUGGACAAUGGGGGCAACCCUGAUCCAGCCAUGCCGCGUGCGGGAAGAAGGCCUUCGGGUUGUAAACCGCUUUUGUCGGGGAAGAAACGGUCCGCGCUAAUACCGUGGGCUAAUGACGGUACCCGAAGAAUAAGCACCGGCUAACUACGUGCCAGCAGCCGCGGUAAUACGUAGGGUGCAAGCGUUAAUCGGAAUUACUGGGCGUAAAGCGUGCGCAGGCGGCUUUGCAAGACAGAUGUGAAAUCCCCGGGCUCAACCUGGGAACUGCAUUUGUGACUGCAUGGCUAGAGUGCGGCAGA
This 646-nucleotide ribosomal RNA is filed under the name uncultured Piscinibacter sp. RNAcentral describes it as "bacterial SSU rRNA". It matches the Rfam family "Bacterial small subunit ribosomal RNA", at positions 12 to 655 of the family's 1533-position model. The record is from RNAcentral. Lineage: Bacteria; Pseudomonadati; Pseudomonadota; Betaproteobacteria; Burkholderiales; Sphaerotilaceae.